This 514-nucleotide ribosomal RNA is filed under the name uncultured bacterium. Its description in RNAcentral is "bacterial SSU rRNA". It matches the Rfam family "Bacterial small subunit ribosomal RNA", at positions 28 to 526 of the family's 1533-position model. The record is from RNAcentral.
GACGAACGCUGGCGGCGUGCCUAAUACAUGCAAGUCGAGCGGACCGGAGGGAGCUUGCUCCCAAAGGUCAGCGGCGGACGGGUGAGUAACACGUGGGUAACCUGCCUGACAGACUGGGAUAACGCUUGGAAACGAGUGCUAAUACCGGAUAGGCUCUUUGACCGCAUGGUUGAAGAGGGAAAGAGGCUAUCGCCUCACUGUUAGAUGGACCCGCGGCGCAUUAGCUAGUUGGUGAGGUAACGGCUCACCAAGGCGACGAUGCGUAGCCGACCUGAGAGGGUGACCGGCCACACUGGGACUGAGACACGGCCCAGACUCCUACGGGAGGCAGCAGUAGGGAAUCUUCCACAAUGGGCGCAAGCCUGAUGGAGCAACGCCGCGUGAGUGAUGAAGGCCUUCGGGUUGUAAAACUCUGUCUUCUGUGACGAACAAGUGCGUGAGUGGAAAACUCGCACCCUGACGGUAACAGAGGAGGAAGCCACGGCUAACUACGUGCCAGCAGCCGCGGUAAUAC